Molecule: long non-coding RNA, 1431 nt
Organism: Zea mays
Lineage: Eukaryota; Viridiplantae; Streptophyta; Magnoliopsida; Poales; Poaceae
Exons: 2
Source: RefSeq, a predicted model, not a curated record
AGGAGGUAGUAGCAUCGACUCAAAUGAGUACGAGGAAGUAGCAGACAUCGCCCUCAGUUCUUCCGUGCUCUAUGCUCGAGUCGAGGUAAAUCUUGUCUGAAAUCUGAAUGUCUGCUUGUGUUGUGUGAGACCAAAGAUGUUUAGUCCAAUUUAUUUGUCAAUGUGUAGAUUUAUUUUGGUAAUUUGGUUCCUAUUCCAACCAACAACAGACAUGAAAGGAAACAAAAUCAAGAUUUGAAGGGCUAUUUCAGUCAAGGUUCUAGUGGAAGUGGACCAGGCACUCAUGCUAGUGGAGUUUGCCCCGAACACGAAAUAUAAGUUCAAUUUCAAGAGAAUAAUAGUGAAGAAGUUGCACUUGUUCAAGAAGAGAAUGCACCUAUUCCAAAUGCCAAUAGUGAAGAUGUUAAUGGUUUAAAGUUCAACUCGGAUCACAUUAUUUCUGAUCCGAGACUUCAUAUUCAAUUGAUUCUUUUGCUCCUAAUAUUAGAGAUGAAGUUAGAAUGACUUUCAUAGCUAAAGGUCCGACUCAACCAAAAUUGGUCAUAAUUUUCCUCGGUCACAUGGUAAAAGGAUCUUCUAAAAACAUUGGUUCGGACAACAUAGUUGGUUGGAAUAUAGUGUGGAUAAGAAUAAGGCUUAUUGCUUCGAUUAUUACCUUUUUAAGCAUGAUCGAAUGAAUGAUAAAUUUGGCCAUGAUGCAUUUACAAAAGUUGGCUUCUCAUAGUGGAGAAUUGUUUGUACGGAAUUUCCAAAACAUGUUGGUGGGCCUAAUAGCAUACACAAUGUUGCAGCAACAACAUUCCAUGAUUUUUGUAACCAAAGGUCAAGUGUUACUCAGAAGGUUUCAAAUUAUAGCCAAGAUGCAUUGGUCAAAUAUGAGACACGAUUGGAAACUUCCUUAAGUAUUGUUAGUCUUCUUGCAUUGCAAGCUGAAUCAUUUCGGGGACAUGAUGAGACUAGUACUUCAUUGAACAAAGUGAUUUUUUAGAAUUUCUUGAUUGGUACAAACAAAGGAAUGAAGAGGUGAGAAGAGCUUUUGAUGAAUUGUGUCCCAGAAAUUCCAAGAUGACUUCGAGGACGAUUCAAAAAGAACUUGCAAACUGUUGUGAAGAAGCAGUCACACAUGCAAUUAAAGAAGAAAUGGGGGAUUGUUUAUUCUCUGUUCUUGUUGAUGAAUCCUGUGAUAUAUCGGUUAAAGAACAAAUGGCUAUAGUUGUGAGGUUUGUCAAUAAAAAGGGUGAAGUAAUAGAAAGAUUUUUGGGCAUCAAGCAUGUGAAGGACACAACAUCGGAAUCAUUAAAGAAAGCAUUAGUUGAGAUGUUUAGUGAUCAUGGAUUAAUUGUUGCAAAACUUUGAGGGUAGGACACCUUGUAUUGAUUAGCAAUUAUGUGAAUUGUUAGUGAGAUUCUUUACUUGUAUGGUUAUUCUAAA